RNAcentral lists this unclassified non-coding RNA (377 nucleotides) under plant metagenome. Its description in RNAcentral is "partial contains 5.8S ribosomal RNA, internal transcribed spacer 2, and large subunit ribosomal RNA". The stretch from base 1 to 104 matches the Rfam family "5.8S ribosomal RNA", at positions 51 to 154 of the family's 154-position model. The record is from RNAcentral.
AAAUGCGAUAAGUAAUGUGAAUUGCAGAAUUCAGUGAAUCAUCGAAUCUUUGAACGCACCUUGCGCUCCUUGGUAUUCCUUGGAGCAUGCCUGUUUGAGUAUCAUGAAAUCUUCAAAGUAAAUCUUUUGUUAACUCAAUUGGUUUCUACUUUGGUAUUGGAGGUCUUUGCAGCUUCACACCCGCUCCUCUUUGUUCAUUAGCUGGAUCUCAGUGUUAUGCUUGGUUCCACUCGGCGUGAUAAGUUAUCUAUCGCUGAGGACACUGUAAAAGGUGGCCAAGGUAAAUGCAGAUGAACCGCUUCUAAUAGUCCAUUGACUUGGACAAUACUUUUAUGAUCUGAUCUCAAAUCAGGUAGGACUACCCGCUGAACUUAAGC